GAUUGUGUGGUGUAGUGGAUUGAGUGCUGGACUUCAGCUCUGGAGAUCAGGGUUCAGUUCCCUACUUGGCCA
Phrynosoma platyrhinos (Desert horned lizard) is the source of this 72-nucleotide non-coding RNA. The record is from the annotation of a GenBank genome assembly. Lineage: Eukaryota; Metazoa; Chordata; Lepidosauria; Squamata; Phrynosomatidae.